Molecule: long non-coding RNA, 722 nt
Filed under: Homo sapiens (human)
Lineage: Eukaryota; Metazoa; Chordata; Mammalia; Primates; Hominidae
Description: HSALNT0323551
Source: RNAcentral
UUGGCGGGGGGGGGGGGCAGGGUUAAAAAAACUUUUUUUAUCAGUCAGAGGAUAAUGCAAGUGUUUAACAGAUGCUUCACUAUUAAAAUAUUUUCCCCCCAAGUCUCAAAUAUUGAAGAAUCUCUAACCAGGGACACCAGUCCCUACGAAGACCUUGGGCGAUUUUGAAGUGCGGGCACCUCGAUUCCCCGAAUCUGUAGUGUGGCUGGUAUCGGUGUUCCCCUGGUUUAACUAGCCUGUUUGAAGGCACAGAUCAUUCAUGGGGAUGUAUAACCGAAACCAGUCCUCUCCACCGCCUGGGGAUCUUCACUUUCGCAGUCUACGACUGCCUGUGACUCCAGAAAGACAAACUGCAGAUUGGCCAAGAUGGGGAAAUUGAGGCAGAGAAGCCAAGACAUGUGCUAAAGGUCAUGCAGGCUAUGAAUGGAGCUGGAAUGUGAACGCAGGCCAUAUGACCCCAGAGCCCAUGUUCUUGAACCCUUAGAAAGACAGCAGCAACACACCUGGUGCAGCAGCUGCUUAGUUGGAGUGGCUGACAAGAGAUCCUGGCAAAUGGGUGUUUCUUCCCAGAAAGGGAUUUUUCUCCAUGACUGCAGUUGAAUUGCAGAGUUGUAGAGACAUCCAGGUUCUUGUUAGUGUGGACGAACUAUCCAUGAAGAUCUUAAAUGCAGGAGUCUAUGAGAACACCAAUUAAUCAAUUGUCAAAUAUUUGAGUAUCUAUU